RNAcentral lists this ribosomal RNA (404 nucleotides) under uncultured Clostridia bacterium. RNAcentral describes it as "bacterial SSU rRNA". It matches the Rfam family "Bacterial small subunit ribosomal RNA", at positions 356 to 774 of the family's 1533-position model. The record is from RNAcentral. Lineage: Bacteria; Bacillati; Bacillota; Clostridia.
GGGGAAUAUUGCGCAAUGGGGGAAACCCUGACGCAGCAACGCCGCGUGAUUGAAGAAGGCCUUCGGGUUGUAAAGAUCUUUAAUUCGGGACGAAAAAAAUGACGGUACCGAAAGAAUAAGCUCCGGCUAACUACGUGCCAGCAGCCGCGGUAAUACGUAGGGAGCGAGCGUUGUCCGGAAUUACUGGGCGUAAAGGGCGCGUAGGCGGGUUUUUAAGUCAGGUGUGAAAACUCCAGGCUCAACUUGGAGAGUGCACUUGAAACUGGGGACCUUGAGGACAGGAGAGGAAAGUGGAAUUCCUAGUGUAGCGGUGAAAUGCGUAGAUAUUAGGAGGAACACCAGUGGCGAAGGCGACUUUCUGGACUGUACCUGACGCUGAGGCGCGAAAGCAUGGGGAGCGAACG